RNAcentral lists this ribosomal RNA (372 nucleotides) under uncultured organism. RNAcentral describes it as "bacterial SSU rRNA". It matches the Rfam family "Bacterial small subunit ribosomal RNA", at positions 526 to 896 of the family's 1533-position model. The record is from RNAcentral.
CAGAGGGGGCAAGCGUUAUUCGGAAUUAUUGGGCGUAAAGGGCGCGUAGGCGGCUUUGCAAGUGACGGGUGAAAUCCCUCGGCUUAACCGAGGAACUGCCUGUCAGACUGCAUGGCUUGAGACCAGGAGAGGUGAGUGGAAUUCCCAGUGUAGCGGUGAAAUGCGUAGAUAUUGGGAGGAACACCAGUGGCGAAGGCGGCUCACUGGACUGGUACUGACGCUGAGGCGCGAAAGCGUGGGGAGCAAACAGGAUUAGAUACCCUGGUAGUCCACGCCGUAAACGAUGAGUGCUUGGUGUAGCGGGUAUCGACCCCUGCUGUGCCGAAGUCAACACAUUAAGCACUCCGCCUGGGGAGUACGGUCGCAAGACUG